RNAcentral lists this long non-coding RNA (728 nucleotides) under Selaginella moellendorffii. Its description in RNAcentral is "long non-coding RNA (SMOE_LNC001888)". The record is from RNAcentral. Lineage: Eukaryota; Viridiplantae; Streptophyta; Lycopodiopsida; Selaginellales; Selaginellaceae.
GGUCCGGCUCUUGAGAACGCGUUCCUUGUCCACUCCCCAGGUAAGACACUCAGGAUUCCGGUGUCCAUGCUUGUCCGUGAAGAAGAUAUCCGGGUUCUCCUUCCCAAUCUCCAGCACCCACUUUGGAAUUGGUAUAUUCACGUCGUCACCGACGUUUCCUCCACAUUGAUGGAACGACAUCACAACCUGGUGAAACACAAGUAAGCUUUCAUCAUAUAUAAGUUGUUCUUACGGUCUUUCAUGUUUUCUCAGUACCUGGAGCUUUAAGUCGGAUUCCUUGACAAUCGUAAAGAGUUCUCUGUAAGCACACCAGUUGUAUUUUUGUGGAGUGUCCUCGACGAGUCCCCACCAACAGUCCACCAUAACUCCAUCGACAUUCACGGAUUUCAGAGCUUGUAAGUCUCUACGUAUACCUUCUGGAUUGACAAGUUCGUUGCUCUCGCUUAUCAGACCCAGCUAAGAAAUGAAUCUCGUCAAGGUAAAAACAUUGCUCGUCCUUUCAUACUUACGGGAAGCAUGACAUAUAUAGGAACAUAUGGAGUUCCUGCGAAAUCACGCUCCUCUUUCUCCUUGAAGAGAAAGCAGAAAAAUCAAACCAAGGUGAGCAAUUGCAAUUAGCUUUACCUCUUCCUUGGUCAUUUCUUCUACGGCAGCAGCGGUGCUUGAAGUGGAUGAUCGCGAGACCAUUUUAUGAGAGGCAAGGUUGGAGACCUUUCUGGCUGUGAUCG